RNAcentral lists this ribosomal RNA (494 nucleotides) under uncultured bacterium. Its description in RNAcentral is "partial 16S ribosomal RNA". It matches the Rfam family "Bacterial small subunit ribosomal RNA", at positions 28 to 507 of the family's 1533-position model. The record is from RNAcentral.
GACGAACGCUGGCGGCGCGCUUAACACAUGCAAGUCGAACGGAAAGGCCUGCUUUCCCUUGUGGAUUGCGGGUACUCGAGUGGCGAACGGGUGAGUAACACGUGAGUGAUCUGCCCCCAACUUGGGUAUAAGCCUGGGAAACUGGGUCUAAUUCCCGAUAGGACUGCAGGGUGGUGCCUGUGGUGGAAAACGAUUUUCUAGUGGUUGGGGAUGAGCUCGCGGCCUAUCAGCUUGUUGGUGGGGUAAUGGCCUACCAAGGCGGCGACGGGUAGCCGGCCUGAGAGGGUGGACGGCCACAUUGGGACUGAGAUACGGCCCAGACUCCUACGGGAGGCAGCAGUGGGGAAUAUUGCACAAUGGGCGGAAGCCUGAUGCAGCGACGCCGCGUGGGGGAUGACGGCCUUCGGGUUGUAAACUCCUUUGGACCGCGAGGAAGCCACCUGGUUGGAAGGGUGGUGACGGUAGUGGUAGAAGAAGCACCGGCUAACUACGUG